AUAAUAAUAACGUGUGUGUGUGUGUGUGUGUGUAGGGCUAUGCUCCAGCUCCAGUCAUGUACAGCUCUCCUCCACCAGCAGCAGCCAGUGACCCUGUUAAGGAGGAGUUCAAGAUGGAGGAUAUGGUUUCCUCAUCUGGCGACCCCCUGCUGACUGCUAUAUCACAGGCUGAAGCUGCAUUCUCUCCUGUGGCUUCUGUGCCUUCCUCCUCCAGCAACAUUCUCAGCUCCUCUGAUGGUGCCUACCAGUUCCAGAUUGAUGGACCAAAAAACUCCACCAACUUCCUAUAGGGACAUUACCUCCUGAAGAAGCUCCCUCCAAGUCCUCCCAGACUGAUGUUACAAUGCCCUCUGUGACCAUUUUCCAUUCCUUUCUUGAAGCAUCCAAAUCAGGGACACAUAAUGGCACAGGAGUAAGCAAUGAGCCGCAUUUGGACAGUACAUUCUUUUCCUCUUUGCCUUGAUCAUUAUAUAAAGCUGGUGUAGUUUGAAAGCGUGCAACCGAAAAAAUCCCACCCCCUUCCUUCAGACCUCCCUUGAAAGCGACUCCCCCCAGCCAGGCAGCAUGUACAAGUUAGUUAUUAAUCAAUUUUCCAGAGGUGAGAAGACAAAGAAAGGAAGUGUUUUUGUGAAGUGUGUAAUAAAAAUGGACAUCCGAUGAGUAUAAUAAAAACAGGGCUGGGUUCAGUUUACCAAAGGUUUAAGAGACGUUAUCAGUACAUGGUUGUGGUUUCUAUCUACAUUUUCAAUGAUUCCAAACUUGAGUAUAUUUCUUUGAUUCCUUUUUUUUAAUUUUUGUUAAGUGAGAGCUGACUUCUGAUGUAAUGUGCCGGGAAAAUCAAGGAAUCAAGAAAAAAGUCUAAAAAAGUCAACAAAAGGAAAGAAACCAGAGUGCCAUGAAAACGAUUGACUGAAAAUCCCUCAAAAGUUAUCGCUAUCGGACGUCUUUGAUGGGAAAUGUUUCACUGGCCAAAAAAAAACAAAAUAGCAAUAAAAUGUGUAUUAAGACUUCAGACAUGUUAAACAAAAAUACACUUUAUUAUGACUACAGUUCUGCUACCCACAGUAGCAAUGUCAGGUUGCUGUAUGUCAGGUUUGCUCCAAUGUCAUUUAGUAAGAAAUGUCUUUAUAGCUAAUGCUUAAGAGUUGCUGGUGAGCUUCUUAUAUUCUCCAGUGAAUUGAGAAAGAGCUCUGUAUCCUGGAAACACGGUCCUGUUGAGACAACAGCUAAAAAAACACAGUGCAGAGAUUGCUCUUCUGACUGCACAAUAGCCCCCAAUAUAAGCUCUUUUCCAUCCAGUCAACCACCAGCAUCAGUCAAGUGAGUGGAUUGGUAAAAUAUGGAUCAAUCUGCGAUGGGGCUCAAAUGAGAGGAGUACAACAGCCAACCACUCUCUGUGCUAUACUGUACACAAGUAUAAUGUGCCCUGUCAAAUACACACACACAUCACAUCUUAAUUAUAUUACCCUAAGUUCCUAUCCUAGAAUAGACUACUGCUAGGCCCCAGGUUUGCUGUCGAGUUGCCUUUAACUUAGUGCUUCUACCUUGACCUGGAUGACUGAGAAUCUUCACAGACACACACCUAUUUUUUUAUGAGAAGAGCUGUAUGAAACAGAAUUUCUACAAUAGCUACCUCAUUUUUUCAUUCAAUGCCUCUUCAUAAAUCAACACUGCUAAGACAGCUUGUACAGUAUUGGUCGAUGGAAUGACUUUCAAUUCAAAUUGAAAUUGUCAAACCCCCUGAAUCCUCUGAUAGUGAUAAUUCUGUUUAAAUCACCUGGAUUUGGUGGUAAGUCUGGUUGUCAUGAAUGCUAACAACUAAACUGUAAGAAUACUGCCAGAAGAAUUGCCUUUCAGGGUUGACUCAAGCCUCCUUACCGUUACAGCAAAAAACAUAUCACUCAUUAUCCUUUCAGAGCCUUUGGUGUCUGUGUCCCAACCAUAAAUCAUAAUCAAGCAGGAAGUAGUAGCAUACACAGUGUGUAUGUCAGUUAUUACUCUGGACAGGCCAUCAAGGAAAUGCAGUUUGAGAGAUAACAAACAUUAACUGUCAUAAACAUAAAGGAAUACACACAAAUGAUAAAUUAUAGAUUAAGUUCCAACACCUUUUUGAGCUGUUGUGUUUUGGUUUUUUUUGUUAGUUAAUUGUUGUGACUUGUGAAUUGAUUUGCUCAACUGGAUGCUCAGCCUGUUGAGUGUCAUCUAGGAUGGAGGUCAGAAAUCUUCCUACUUAUCUAGGAUGCUUACCUUAAAACCACAACAGACAUUGAACUGUAAAUAACAUCACAAAUGCCUUUCUCUGCCAAAGUCGGGUUUUAUGUACAGUAGUCUUUCAUUUUGUUUGUUGAGGUUAGUAAAUACAGUGAACCUUGAUACUGCCAUCUCCACAGUGUAUGCAGACCAGUUGAUGUAGAGCUGUCAGUAUUUUGUUGUGUUUGUGGUUGGCUGGAUUCAGCUGAUGUCCUGCAAAUGGUGUCUUGACAACUGGAUUUUUGGAGUCACACCUUAAACUGGGACAAACAGGUUCUGGACUGCUCUGCUGUCAGCAUUUCAUGUAAAAACACAGUGAGUGCCUUUUCAUCUCUCAAUGUGAAGGUGACGUUGAUCUUUUUUCUUUCUGGGUAGAUUGUCACAUGAAAAGCAAAAUAAGGUGUGUUUUUUGUUUUGUCUUUGUGUCCUAGAUCUGAUGUUCCUUAAAUGUAAUAUGGGUUGAAGUGUGGUUCACACUACGUUGAAUAUGUUUUUAAAAUUAUUUUUGUGUAAAUAUAACCAAUGAUAUUCACUAAGUGUAGUUGUAGCUGAUAAUUAUGGCUGAUGGAGUUGGAGAUGCCUUCAUUUUUGUGGUAUUUUAGUCUUUCCAGUAUCACAUCCACCACUGGAUUUUAUGGUAGUGACAUUGGUUUCGCGCCUGUUAUUUUAUACCUCUUCUACUGUACAUGUGCAACCCUGUAUCAAUGAAACUACGCAUGAAUAAAGUGAAAUUCUGUUUCUCUCA
Micropterus salmoides (largemouth bass) is the source of this 2995-nucleotide long non-coding RNA. RefSeq lists it as uncharacterized. NCBI's taxonomy places the organism in Eukaryota, Metazoa, Chordata, Actinopteri, Centrarchiformes, Centrarchidae. The transcript has 2 exons. The record is from RefSeq and is a predicted model, not a curated record.